CACAGAACUUUCCAGAGAUGGAUUGGUGCCUUCGGGAACUGUGAGACAGGUGCUGCAUGGCUGUCGUCAGCUCGUGUUGUGAAAUGUUGGGUUAAGUCCCGCAACGAGCGCAACCCUUAUCCUUUGUUGCCAGCGGUCCGGCCGGGAACUCAAAGGAGACUGCCAGUGAUAAACUGGAGGAAGGUGGGGAUGACGUCAAGUCAUCAUGGCCCUUACGACCAGGGCUACACACGUGCUACAAUGGCGCAUACAAAGAGAAGCGACCUCGCGAGAGCAAGCGGACCUCAUAAAGUGCGUCGUAGUCCGGAUUGGAGUCUGCAACUCGACUCCAUGAAGUCGGAAUCGCUAGUAAUCGUGGAUCAGAAUGCCACGGUGAAUACGUUCCCGGGCCUUGUACACACCGCCCGUCACACCAUGGGAGUGGGUUGCAAAAGAAGUAGGUAGCUUAACCUUCGGGAGGGCGCUUACCACUUUGUGAUUCAUGACUGGGGUGAAGUCGUAACAAGGUAACCGUAGGGGAACCUGCGGUUGGAUCAC
RNAcentral lists this ribosomal RNA (537 nucleotides) under Escherichia coli. Its description in RNAcentral is "partial 16S ribosomal RNA". It matches the Rfam family "Bacterial small subunit ribosomal RNA", at positions 989 to 1526 of the family's 1533-position model. The record is from RNAcentral. RNAcentral also lists the same sequence under 1 other name. Lineage: Bacteria; Pseudomonadati; Pseudomonadota; Gammaproteobacteria; Enterobacterales; Enterobacteriaceae.